This 3183-nucleotide long non-coding RNA is filed under the name Olea europaea subsp. europaea. The record is from RNAcentral. Lineage: Eukaryota; Viridiplantae; Streptophyta; Magnoliopsida; Lamiales; Oleaceae.
ACCAGUAUCGAUUAUCCAAGUGCUCUUGGUGUAUGUGUAAGCAGAACAUGCUAGGCUACUACCUGAGAAGGAUGAUGCUGAAGGCAUUGUUGGAGAUUGAGUUGAUGUGACUUGCAGGUCCCCAACAUGGUUUACAAAACUAGUGGUAAUUGGAGUGGUGGUAGUGGUGACAGGUGAAGGCAUGAAAGCUUCAAGUUGAGGCCUCAGCAUUGAGAUGAUCUGUUGACAUUGAUCUGGGGUGAUAUUAAUGUUGCUGAGGCUGCUUAGAGUUUCAGAACUGUUUGAUGCAACAACUUGGUGAGCUGAUGCAUUUUCAGGGAACCUCUUAGCUAGACGAUGUCCUGGAGGAUAUCCAUUGAGUUUGUAGCACUUAUCCCUUUUGUGACCAGUGAGGCCACAGUAACUACAGAUAGGCCUGUCCUUCCUUUGUCCAGAAUUGCUGCUACUUGUGUUUUUAAUGAGAUGUUGCUGAUUACCAAAACAGUGGCUAGCAGACUCCACCUUUUGGUGUAGAGAUGUCACCUGCCUUUGCUUUUCUUCUUGAGAAACUAGAGCAAAGACACGACUCAGAGAGAGAAUUGGAUCCAUGAGAAGGAUUUGGCUUCUAACAGCAGUGUAGGAAUCGUCUAAUCCCAUCAGAAAUUGUAUCACCUGAUCAUCAGAGUGAUGGGGAUUAUGGUGUUGUGGUCUGUAAUGAGCCAAUUCUUCCCAGAGUCCCUUCAAUCUGUUGAAUUAGGAGCCAAGGGAUCCAUUGUUCUGUGAAAUUGAAAAAAUCAAUUUCUACAGCUGGUAAAUGCGAGGGCCAUUGCUUUGAUUGUAUCUAUCAUACAGUUCAAGCCAGAUGUCUCGUGCUGAAUCUUUAUGCAUGACACUGGGAUAGAGUUCCUUGGGGAUUUAGUUGAUUAUCCAUGCAGACACCAUGUGAUUACACCUUCUCCAUGGGACAUAUAAUGGAUCACUGGGAUCUGGCUUAGAGAUUGAGCCAUCAAUGAAACCUUCUUUAUUUUUAACACUUAAGGCCAUAGUUACUGCUCUACUCCAGGUGGAGUAGUUUUCAUCAGAGAGGACGACAGAGAUGAGCUGGGCACCAGUGUUCUCGCCAUAGUAGAAAUAGUAUGGGCUGUUAGGAUCAUCAACGACUCGAAAAUUCAUCUGCCCAUGAAUGGCAGGACCACCGGCAGGAUUCUCUGAGCUGGAGAUGGGAUGUUGAACAUCUCCCGGAAUUUUAGAACCUGCGUGAAUCUCCGAGGCGGCUUGAUGAUUGGUAGCCAUGAUUGGUAGAGAGAGCUAGAUAUGCUCUGAUACCAUAACAAAAUCUGAAAAACCAGAAUUGCUGAAGCAAGAGAAUACGUGAUGGUAAAUUUUCUCUUCACAAUCUGAUCAAUCUUUACAAGUGUAUAUAUAGGGUGUAGCUCUAACUAACUAACAAAAUUAAAGCUGUACAGGGGAAACAGAAAGAAUAAAAUGCUAACAAAUCUGCCAUGUCAGCAGCUAUACAACAGAAAGGAAUCUAAAUUAUAUUCAACACUAAGUUUUUACCUACGGUUGCUAGAUGUUAUUCCACUUAGAGACCACCACAAAGGAGAGGCAAAACCACCAAGAGAGUCACCACAAAGGGACCGUGGAAAGAGGCAGAGAGAACUGGCAGAAGAGAAAUGCGAAGAAUGCUUAAGAAGGAGACAGGUCUUGUAGAGGCCAUGUAUUUCACAAGAAUAUAUAGGUAGACCAUUGCCCAAUAAAGUCAGUCCAUUAGGUUUAGUUAACGGGUUAUGGGUCCAAUAGAAAUUAUAAUGGUUCAUAGAAUGAACUUCUAGUAACACUACCCAUCCAAGUAGGUGGAUAAUCGGCCUAUCAGCAAUACAACCUAAUUGGUUGCUUCAAAUUGUCCAAUCACUUCUUGGGUCGUGUCAUUCUAGUUUUGGUGUUGAUAUAUCGCUCAAUCAUACUGUCAAUGUAGACUGAUAAUUAUAAUUGGGUCUACAUCAUCGUUUGGGAGGUCGUUUGACAAAUUCAAAUUUCUAUUAUGCUUUAUUUUUCAUACAGUGAAAAAGAUAUUGCAAGAGAAGUUAAUCAUACAUGCUUAGUAGUUGCGGUUAAGCCUACCAGAGGGUUAGCCGCAACUGCUAUGUUAAAUGCUGCUCACAAGUCACUUCUUCAUUUUUCGUGCCAAAUAACAAAGGUAACUAAGUUUUUGGCAUCCCUAACCUAUUACUAAAUUUACCCAACCCACUUUGGGGUUCAUUGAUUUGUCUCUCUAGUACAGUCAUUAGAUGGAAUUUUUCUAAUUGAAACAUAGUAACAUGAAAACGCAUAUUGUAUCAGUUGAACUUUUCAAAUGCAUUUCUUUGUGUUUGUAAAAAUUAUUUGUUGGUAGACUGAUUAUGGGAAAAGAAAAGUUAAAUAAGGCAACAUAUAAUGAACUAUAGCUCCCAUCAAAACAGUUCUGAAAUCCAAUAUUUGAUACAUUGAACUUGUGUUCGAGCAUAUAAAAACCAUUUUUACUCAUCUACAAAUUUGAUUCAAAUACUAGAUAAUAAUAUCUAAGGAUUUACUAAAUUCUGCAUAUGGUACCAUACUUCUGUGGAUUAACUGAGUUUUUAUAAAUUUUUACCUCUUAACAUUUGAUGCUUGCUUCUAAUCCUUUCUAUCUUUUACAGAGUACAAAGUUUGAAUAUGCACGAAUACAUUUUUUCGCACACAAAUUAUCUGAAAUUCUCGAAGUCUUCACUUUCACAUUUCCUCUUCUAGCUAUAUUUCCCAUACAGCCGGAUGAAUCUAAUGUGUGAUUUGUUGUUCAUCAAUGGAGUGCCAUCAGAAUCAGUUGACAAUCUUUUGCCCUUAUACUCUGGCAUUCUUCAUCUCUUAAUCUUUGUCGUUUGAUGUCUGGAUGUAUAUUGGUAUUGUAAAGGUUGCACUUCCUCGGAUAAAAAUUCAGCCACUUUGGUCCAUUCACGCUCAUCAAUAAAGGAAAGUUAUUGACAAUUCGAAGAUUAUUGUUGGAUUACAUACUUUUCGAGAUUUUGUUACAAGAUGUUACUAUAUCUCAUUGUGUUAAGUAUUGAUGACAAAUGCUCCUCUUUCUUGAUAACAAAUUUUCACCAUUUGUUAAAAAGUUUGUCAAUAUGGCACUUUCUUUGAUUCAUUAAAAUUGUUAGCUAUCCAUAUUUGGUUGUGAAAUUUUUU